AACACCCUUCUCUUGGUAUGCAUUUUAAAACAAUGGCUGCGGCUUAGGCAGAGCUCUGUCUUCUGCAUGCUAAAACAGGCAAUCGCACAAAGCUACCAUUCGUCGGCUAACACCUGCGCGCCUCUUAAGGUGGAAGUCAUGCUAUGAGCCCGGCGGGGUCAUUCGUCCCAAUGACCGUCACCCGAUUACCGAUAGGCCCGGCUCGUCCGGGCUCAGGAACAUAUCCCAUGGGCUCGCCCAUGCGUAAAUUCCACUCGCUCAUUGGCAUAGAUCCCUCGCAGACGACGUGGCUCAAACACGGUGUUGUAAGAAGUAGAGUGGCCUUGCUGCGACGAUCUUCUGAGACUGAGCCAUUGUUCGCACGAUUU
Ribosomal RNA from Coccomyxa subellipsoidea C-169, 368 nucleotides. It matches the Rfam family "Eukaryotic large subunit ribosomal RNA", at positions 3004 to 3399 of the family's 3401-position model. The record is from Rfam. Lineage: Eukaryota; Viridiplantae; Chlorophyta; Trebouxiophyceae; Coccomyxaceae.